This is a long non-coding RNA of Stegostoma tigrinum, 759 nucleotides long. RefSeq lists it as uncharacterized. The transcript is spliced from 3 exons. Lineage: Eukaryota; Metazoa; Chordata; Chondrichthyes; Orectolobiformes; Stegostomatidae. The record is from RefSeq and is a predicted model, not a curated record.
GUUUCACUUCGAAAAUAUAUAUUCUUGAUUAUUGCAAAGACGAAUUCCACCUGAACCAAAAGAAGGAAUUUUUCUACAUCUAGGGGCUUGUACUGAAUAUUCCUCAGAGACUUAUUAACUUCAGAAUGGUGAAUUAUAAUGUAACUCGCAGAGGGAAUUGUACAAGAGAACUUACAAAACCUGAGGAAUCCACCGAGAAGGCGUUCAUGACAGAACAUUUGAUGGAGAAGACGUUCCUGACAGAACAUUCGACAGAGAAGGCAAAGAACAUUCUGGAAGAUGCACAACAUGGCUGUAAUUUCAACAGACUAAAGUCUAUGUGUUUUUUUUAAAUUAUAUGUAACUGGGACAUGUAUUUAUUAGAACAGCAUAACAUUAGAAUCUUGCUUUAUUCAGCAACAGUUAGCAGUUAUAAGAGGUUUAUUUGAUUUGGCAAUAGUUUAAUUAAUUUGUUCACUGUUAGACUUAGAUAAAUAAAUUGCUACUUGUUGGUUUUAAAGUGGGUAUCAGGUGUUUAUUUUGUUUAACCAUGAGAAGAUGCUGAAAGGCAGGUGACACCAUUUUCACACUCCUUUUACAGAUUAUAGGGUGAAGUGCUCCUCUUUGGGUGUUUCAGUUUUAGUUCUCUGGGGCAGGAGGGUGAAAACAGAUUGGGGGCUCAUCCAGGAUAGAAAUGGAUCUGUUGGAUCAGAUUGGAUUUGGACAGAUUUGAACAGAUUUAGGGUAUGAAAGGUUCCAGUAGAUUUAAACAGACUUGGG